This 433-nucleotide ribosomal RNA is filed under the name uncultured bacterium. RNAcentral's name for it is "partial 16S ribosomal RNA". It matches the Rfam family "Bacterial small subunit ribosomal RNA", at positions 29 to 507 of the family's 1533-position model. The record is from RNAcentral.
AACGAACGCUGGCGGCAUGCCUAACACAUGCAAGUCGAACGAGACCUUCGGGUCUAGUGGCGCACGGGUGCGUAACGCGUGGGAACCUGCCCUUAGGUUCGGAAUAACUCCCCGAAAGGGGUGCUAAUACCGGAUAAUGUCUUCGGACCAAAGAUUUAUCGCCUUUUGAUGGGCCCGCGUUGGAUUAGCUAGUUGGUAGGGUAAAAGCCUACCAAGGCGACGAUCCAUAGCUGGUCUGAGAGGAUGAUCAGCCACACUGGGACUGAGACACGGCCCAGACUCCUACGGGAGGCAGCAGUGGGGAAUAUUGGACAAUGGGCGAAAGCCUGAUCCAGCAAUGCCGCGUGAGUGAUGAAGGCCUUAGGGUUGUAAAGCUCUUUUACCCGGGAUGAUAAUGACAGUACCGGGAGAAUAAGCUCCGGCUAACUCCGUG